Molecule: non-coding RNA, 298 nt
Organism: Pelobates cultripes (western spadefoot toad)
Lineage: Eukaryota; Metazoa; Chordata; Amphibia; Anura; Pelobatidae
Source: the annotation of a GenBank genome assembly
UAACAGUGAUAUAGAAAGGGUAGUAGAUACCUGGUAUAGCCUUCCAGUGGAGUGUGCCAUGCUGUUUGUUUACAGAAUUGUGGACCGAAGUGUGUCUAUCAGAUAUCAGGGUGUUACAGUGUGUGUGUAUUCGAUAUUGGGAUGUCUAUCAGAUUUCGGGGAGUCUUUCAGAUAUCCGGGUGUUACAUUGCGUCUGUCAGAUAUUGGGAUGUCUGUCAGAUUUCGAAGUGUUACAGUGUGUCUAUCAGAUUUCGGGGUGUUAUAGUGUGUCUGUCAAAUAUUGGGAUGUCUGUCAGAU